AUACGUAGGGGGCAAGCGUUGUCCGGAAUCACUGGGCGUAAAGGGCGCGUAGGCGGCCUGUUAAGUCAGAUGUGAAAGUCCAUGGCUCAACCAUGGAAUUGCAUUUGAAACUGACAGGCUUGAGUGCAGGAGAGGAGAGUGGAAUUCCUAGUGUAGCGGUGAAAUGCGUAGAUAUUAGGAGGAACACCAGUGGCGAAGGCGACUCUCUGGACUGUAACUGACGCUGAGGCGCGAAAGCGUGGGGAGCGAACAGGAUUAGAUACCCUGGUAGUCCACGCCGUAAACGAUGAGUGCUAGGUGUUGGGGGUCGAACCUCAGUGCCGCAGUUAACACAUUAAGCACUCCGCCUGGGGAGUACGAUCGCAAGAUUGAA
RNAcentral lists this ribosomal RNA (373 nucleotides) under uncultured bacterium. RNAcentral's name for it is "bacterial SSU rRNA". It matches the Rfam family "Bacterial small subunit ribosomal RNA", at positions 523 to 898 of the family's 1533-position model. The record is from RNAcentral.